GAACAUACACUCUAUAGAGCCUACGCUACUUUUUUCUAUCAUUACUAACCAUUUAUUAUCUUCUAUUGCUAGUCAUUUCUUCAGGUUUUAUUUCCCAUGAAAAUAAUUAGUAAGUCUCAAUCCACUUGCUAAAUGUGGGUCAGAUAAGUGGUGCCACAGAAGGGCUGAAAAAGGAACAAACACUUCUACUUAAAUGUCUGGGGAGGUUCCCCGAGUUCCCUGGGAUUUGCAGUGAGCUAUAAAAUAUUUGGCCAGGGAGUAGGGAGGGGUUUAGGUAUUAACAACAAUAGCAACAAUAGUAAGUGUUAAAAAUUAGCACUUACUACGUGCCAGCAUCUAUUCUAAGCAUUUUAGAUACAUUAACCUACUUAAUUUUAUGAGAAAAUACUUUUAAUAAGUUAUUUUCAGUGAUAUACAGACAGAAGCACAAAAGAGAGAUUAAAUAAAUUGUCCAAACUACACAGCAAGUAAGUAGUAAAGCGUAUCUGGUCCCCAAGCGCAUGGUCUUAACCACCAUGCUGUCCUGCUUUGGAAAUGAAAAAAAUUGUGGGAGGGAGACCAGAUAUGUGAAAAUACAUACAUAUGUCUGAAGGUGGAUGAAGGAAUCACUGUGGUUCAAGUCAGGUGUUAGUGCUGUAGAAGUGGGACUAGGUUGAGGAGAGCCACAAUAUAAAGCUAAGACAUUACCCCCCUCUUCAUAAACAAUGGGACCAAGAACGAAAUUGUAGGAUAAUAAGUCCAGUAACCAAAUCUAAGAUUGAUGGGGGAGGAAGGGAUUGGAUAUAAGGAGACUAAUCAAGAGGCUUCUGCAAUUGCCUGGCUAAAAGGGAAUGGUGCCCAAACCUUGGUAGUGGCGAAAGGAAAAUUGAGAUAGAUUCUGGAGGUGUUAUGAAGAAACAACAUUAUUGCAGUAUUCUUGGAAAACAGAGAGGAGGUGAUGGUAAAGCUGACUCUACAUUUUUUAAAGCUCAGAUGAAGAAAGAACGCAGGUCCCUGAGCUUAGGAGUUGUGUCAUUCAUCUUUUUUUCCCCCAGGAGCUAGCAAAAUGCUUGAUAUGCCUUUUUAAAGUAAUGAAUAAAUGAAGGUGAUGGAAAGAGAAAUGGGAACAUCAGAAGUGAUGAUGCCAUAUAUACCAAAAAUCUCUACAGUGCAUUUAGUAAUUCACAGGAUAUCUGAGUGGCUUAGGUGGGUUGGCUUCCAUCAUGCCAUUACUUAUAUAGAAAUAGAAUUUAUUUUCUCUUUCCACCUUUGGCUUGGUUUUCAGAUGCUACCUGAUUUCCCCCACCACACGCCUCGGAUGCUCUUCCUCAGGCUGAUCUCGGUCAGCCUGCGUUUCCUCUGCCCUGCCCCAGCGACCCCCAUCCUUGCCCACCAGCUGCAGACUCAUCCUGUCCAGAUCUGACCCCUAAUCAGAAUGUUGCACUUAUCAAGACGAUAAGAUAAGCAGGCUAACAUACUUUACCAUUCUUUUAUUUAUUUAUUUUUAAUAGCAAAGGGAGAAACCACAGACGUUUAUCAGCCUUCUCACACAAUCUUAGCUAAAAAGAAUACUAAAUUAAUGAAAGCACCUCAUUUCUUGGGCAGUUAAUGAAGGUUAAUGUGACAUACUGCCUCUGGCUCUGGAAGUUAAAAGGGGUGUUACUGCCUCAUAUUAUAGCUGGGAAAAAAAAGUGUUAAUAAUCUUUCUCAUCAGCAGUAAAGAAUUGAGCUUUUAAUACCCAGAUAUAUUUUAGUAAAAGGCUAGUAUAUCAUCUGUAAGUGGAGUUCAAGAGCAAUGUUAGAUAACUAGGGCAUUUCGAGAGCCCGCUUACACCAGAGACCAAGAAAAAAAAAAAA
This 1836-nucleotide long non-coding RNA is filed under the name Macaca fascicularis (crab-eating macaque). RNAcentral describes it as "lncRNA (ENSMFAG00000062886.1)". Lineage: Eukaryota; Metazoa; Chordata; Mammalia; Primates; Cercopithecidae. The record is from RNAcentral.